GACGAACGCUGGCGGCGUGCUUAACACAUGCAAGUCGAACGGAGAGGCCCUGCUUUUGUGGGGUGCUCGAGUGGCGAACGGGUGAGUAACACGUGAGUAACCUGCCCUUGACUUUGGGAUAACUUCAGGAAACUGGGGCUAAUACCGGAUAGGGCUUCCGCUUGCUGGGUGGGGGUGGGAAAGUUUCGGCGGUUGGGGAUGGACUCGCGGCUUAUCAGCUUGUUGGUGGGGUAGUGGCUUACCAAGGCUUUGACGGGUAGCCGGCCUGAGAGGGUGACCGGCCACAUUGGGACUGAGAUACGGCCCAGACUCCUACGGGAGGCAGCAGUGGGGAAUAUUGCACAAUGGGCGGAAGCCUGAUGCAGCAACGCCGCGUGCGGGAUGACGGCCUUCGGGUUGUAAACCGCUUUCGCCUGUGACGAAGCGUGAGUGACGGUAAUGGGUAAAGAAGCACCGGCUAACUACGUG
Molecule: ribosomal RNA, 468 nt
Filed under: uncultured bacterium
Lineage: Bacteria
Description: partial 16S ribosomal RNA
Rfam family: Bacterial small subunit ribosomal RNA
Source: RNAcentral